Molecule: ribosomal RNA, 474 nt
Filed under: Sphyracephala munroi
Lineage: Eukaryota; Metazoa; Arthropoda; Insecta; Diptera; Diopsidae
Description: partial 16S ribosomal RNA
Rfam family: Bacterial large subunit ribosomal RNA (bases 239-396)
Source: RNAcentral
AUUUAUUAUAGAAUUUUAUUUUUCAGUAAAAAAGCUGAACUUUUAUUAAAAGACGAGAAGACCCUAUAAAUCUUUAUAUUUUUAUUUAUUUUAAUUUAUUUAGAUUUAUUUUAUUUUAAUAAUUAAAAUUAUUUUAUUGGGGUGAUGUUAAAAUUUAAAUAACUUUUAAUUUAUAAUUUUCAUAAAUAAGUGUUUUAUUGAUCCAUUUUUAAUGAUUAAAAAAUUAAGUUACUUUAGGGAUAACAGCGUAAUUUUUUUUGAGAGUUCUUAUUGAAAAAAAAGUUUGCGACCUCGAUGUUGGAUUAAGAUAUAAUUUUAAAUGCAGAAGUUUAAAUUUUAAGUCUGUUCGACUUUUAAAUUCUUACAUGAUCGAGUUCAAACCGCGUAAGCCAGGUUGGUUUCUAUCUUUAAUUAAUUAAAAUAUUUUAGUACGAAAGGAUUAAAUAUUUAAUUUAUAAAAUUUAAAAUUAGAAU